GCUGAGAAAAAUGGUUAUCCAUUUGGAAAAAAGAUAAAUUGAAUUUCUACUCACAACACACACACACAAAAAUCAACUCCAGAUGGAUUAAAAAGUUAAAUGUCAAAAACAAUGCUUUAAGAAAACUUUUAAUAGAAAACAUAGGUGACUGGGUUAGGAAAAAAUGUCUUAAGACAUUAAAAAUGUUAUGUAUAAAAAGAAAAUGUAGAUAAAUUUGACUAUUAAAAUCAAGGCCAGGUGUGUUGGCUCUCACCUGUAAUCCUGGUAGUUUGGGAGGCCGAGGUGGGAGGAUUGCUUGAGGCCAAGAGUUCAAGGCUAGCCUGGGCAACAUAGUGAGACCCUCCUUAUCUCUCCAAAAUAAAUUUUUUUUUUUUUUUGGCUGGGUGCAGUGGCUCACGCCUAUAAUCCCAACACUUUGGGAGGCCGAGGCGGGUGAAUCAAGGGCGGGAAAUCGAGACCAUUCUGGCUAACAUGGUGAACCCUGUCUCUACUAAAAAAUACAAAAAAUUAGCCUGGCGUGGUGGUGGGUGCCUGUAGUUCCAGCUACUCGGGAGGCUGAGGUAAGAGAAUGGUGUGAACCCAGGAACCGGAGCUUGCAGUGAGCCAACAUUGCGCCACUGCACUCUAGCCUGGGCGACAGAGCAAGACUCCAUCAGACUCCGUUGAGACUGAGUUUUGCUCUCGUUGCCCAGGCUGGAGUGCAGUGGCACAAUCUUGGCUCACUGCAACCUCCACCUCCUGGGUUCAAGUGAUUCUCCUGCUUCAGCCUCCUGAGUAGCUGGAAUUACAGGCACCCACCACUACAUCCAGCUAAUUUUUUUGUAUUUUUAGUAAAGAUGGGGUUUCACCAUGUUGGUCAGGCUGGUCUUGACCUCCUGACCUCAGAUGAUCGACCCACCUCAGCCUCCCAAAGUGCUGGGAUUACAGGCGUGAGCCACCGCACCCAGCCAGCACUUUGGGAGGCUAAGGUGGGCGGAUCACAAGGUCAGGAGAUCGAGACCAUCCUGGCUAACACGGUGAAACCCCAUCUCUACUUAAAAAACAAAAAAUUAGCCAGGUGUGGUAGUAUGCGCCUGUAGUCCCAGCUACUGAGGAGGCUGAGGCAGGAGAAUCUCUUGAACCUAGGAGGCGGAGGUUGCAGUGAGCCGAGAUUGCACCAUUGCACUCCAGCCUAGGUGACAGAACGAGACUCCAUCUCAAAAAAAAAAAAAGAGAGAGUCUCAAUAGAGAAGAGGACCAAGGACACUGCCUUGGGACAAGCCAACAUUUAGAUCGUGGGAACAGAAAGAAAAGCCAGCGGAGGUGACUUACAAGGAACUAGCUAGUGCGAUGGGAGGGAAACCAUUAGUGCAUCUUAUCCCUGCAGCCAAAUGCAAUGUCUCAAAGAGGGUGAAGUAAUCUCUUGCAUAAACUAAGAGCAGUUAGGUAAGAUGAAAACUGAGUAUCAGUCACUGGUCUUGCCACAAGGUGACCUUGACAAGUGAUCUCAUUGGAUCUGAUUGAGGAGGAGCUGCGGGUGAAGGAGCAUGGGUGACAAAGGAAGACAUCUCUUUUGAGGAGUUUUACUGCAAAGGGAGUAGAGGAAUAGGGGUUAGGUAGGUAGAUGGGGUCAAGUAAGAUUUUUAAAGACAAGAAAUAUUCUAGUAUGUUUGUAAGUUGAUGAGAAUGAUCCAGGAAAGAGAGAAAUCUGAGACUGCAAUUGCAAGAGGGAAUUACUACAGGAUGAAAGUCCUUGAGUCAUUGAAGGAAAGACUCCAGGGCACAGAUGGAGGAAGCAAGGCCAGUUCAUCCAGAGUAACGAGAAAGCAGAUCAGAGGCAUAGAUAAAUCAGCAGAUGUGGUGAGAAGAGAAAGAUACUUUCUUCUGAGGGCUCUGAUAUUCUCAGUAAAAUAAGAAACAAGGUCAUCUGCG
RNAcentral lists this long non-coding RNA (1911 nucleotides) under Papio anubis (olive baboon). RNAcentral describes it as "lncRNA (ENSPANG00000048739.1)". The record is from RNAcentral. Lineage: Eukaryota; Metazoa; Chordata; Mammalia; Primates; Cercopithecidae.